UACGUAGGUGGCAAGCGUUGUCCGGAUUUACUGGGCGUAAAGAGCGCGCAGGCGGUCGUUCAAGUCGCGUGUGAAAGCCCCCGGCUCAACUGGGGAGGGUCACGCGAUACUGAUCGACUCGAAGGCAGGAGAGGGAAGUGGAAUUCCCGGUGUAGUGGUGAAAUGCGUAGAUAUCUGGAGGAACACCGGUGGCGAAGGCGGCAUCCUGGACCAACACUGACGCUGAGGCACGAAAGCGUGGGGAGCAAACAGG
Molecule: ribosomal RNA, 253 nt
Filed under: uncultured bacterium
Lineage: Bacteria
Description: partial 16S ribosomal RNA
Rfam family: Bacterial small subunit ribosomal RNA
Source: RNAcentral